AUAGUUUCAGCCAUGAGUCACGCUUCGUAGGUUUGGCAACGUGAAUAGUGAAGGUUUGGCAAAGCGUAGCGGACGGACUGGUAUUGACUUGUUUUCUCAAAUAACUUCCUCCUUUCUUCUUCCUCUUCUUUUUCUUGUAUUCAGCAAAUCAACAAACGACUUCCUUGUAUUAACUAUGGUAAGAUGAAGCACCACAGAAACUAUAA
This is a non-coding RNA of Glossina fuscipes fuscipes, 206 nucleotides long. The record is from Rfam. NCBI's taxonomy places the organism in Eukaryota, Metazoa, Arthropoda, Insecta, Diptera, Glossinidae.